This 432-nucleotide unclassified non-coding RNA is filed under the name soil metagenome. RNAcentral's name for it is "partial contains 5.8S ribosomal RNA, internal transcribed spacer 2, and large subunit ribosomal RNA". The stretch from base 5 to 119 matches the Rfam family "5.8S ribosomal RNA", at positions 40 to 154 of the family's 154-position model. The record is from RNAcentral.
GAUGAGAACGUAGCGAAAUGCGAUACGUAAUGUGAAUUGCAGAAUUCAGUGAAUCAUCGAAUCUUUGAACGCAUAUUGCGCUCUCUGGUAUUCCGGAGAGCAUGCUUGUUUGAGUAUCAGUAAACACCUCAACUUCCAUAUCUUUUUUGAAAUGGGAGUUGGACUUGAGUGAUCCCAACGCUUUUCCUCACCGAAAAGUGGCGGGUUACUUGAAAUGCAGGUGCAGCUGGACUUUUCUCUGAGCUAUAAGCAUAUCUAUUUAGUCUGCCUAAAAAACAGAUUAUUACCUUUGCUGCAGCUAACAUAAAGGAGAUUAGUUCUUGUGCUGACUGAUGCAGGAUUCACAAAGACAGGCUUCGGCCGACUUUGUAAACUCGAUCUCAAAUCAAGUAAGACUACCCGCUGAACUUAAGCAUAUCAAUAAGCGGAGGA